UUAUCUAAUUUUUCACGCGCGAAGCGAAAAGCAAAACAAAACAAAUCACUCUUCAACUAGGGAAAAGAAGUUCCAACAUCUUGACACACACACACACAUACAUCUACCACAGCAACAACAAUCACUCCCAAAAAUGGACUCCAAAUCAACCGAAGCAGAAGAAUCAAAGCCCAUUCUUAAAGAAUCAGG
Molecule: non-coding RNA, 189 nt
Filed under: Protocruzia adhaerens
Lineage: Eukaryota; Ciliophora; Spirotrichea
Source: RNAcentral